This 1491-nucleotide ribosomal RNA is filed under the name metagenome. RNAcentral's name for it is "bacterial SSU rRNA". It matches the Rfam family "Bacterial small subunit ribosomal RNA". The record is from RNAcentral.
AGAGUUUGAUCCUGGCUCAGAUUGAACGCUGGCGGCAUGCCUUACACAUGCAAGUCGAACGGCAGCACGGGUGCUUGCACCUGGUGGCGAGUGGCGAACGGGUGAGUAAUAUAUCGGAACGUACCCUAGAGUGGGGGAUAACGCAGCGAAAGUUGCGCUAAUACCGCAUACGAUCUACGGAUGAAAGUGGGGGAUCGCAAGACCUCAUGCUCAUGGAGCGGCCGAUAUCUGAUUAGCUAGUUGGUGGGGUAAAAGCCUACCAAGGCAUCGAUCAGUAGCUGGUCUGAGAGGACGACCAGCCACACUGGAACUGAGACACGGUCCAGACUCCUACGGGAGGCAGCAGUGGGGAAUUUUGGACAAUGGGCGCAAGCCUGAUCCAGCAAUGCCGCGUGAGUGAAGAAGGCCUUCGGGUUGUAAAGCUCUUUUGUCAGGGAAGAAACGGUGAGGGCUAAUAUCCUUUGCUAAUGACGGUACCUGAAGAAUAAGCACCGGCUAACUACGUGCCAGCAGCCGCGGUAAUACGUAGGGUGCAAGCGUUAAUCGGAAUUACUGGGCGUAAAGCGUGCGCAGGCGGUUAUGUAAGUCAGAUGUGAAAUCCCCGGGCUCAACCUGGGAAUGGCAUUUGAGACUGCAUGGCUAGAGUGUGACAGAGGGGGGUAGAAUUCCACGUGUAGCAGUGAAAUGCGUAGAGAUGUGGAGGAAUACCGAUGGCGAAGGCAGCCCCCUGGGAUAACACUGACGCUCAUGCACGAAAGCGUGGGGAGCAAACAGGAUUAGAUACCCUGGUAGUCCACGCCCUAAACGAUGUCUACUAGUUGUCGGGACUUAAUUGUCUUGGUAACGCAGCUAACGCGUGAAGUAGACCGCCUGGGGAGUACGGUCGCAAGAUUAAAACUCAAAGGAAUUGACGGGGACCCGCACAAGCGGUGGAUGAUGUGGAUUAAUUCGAUGCAACGCGAAAAACCUUACCUACCCUUGACAUGUACGGAACCUCUGAGAGAUUAGAGGGUGCUCGAAAGAGAGCCGUAACACAGGUGCUGCAUGGCUGUCGUCAGCUCGUAUCGUGAGAUGUUGGGUUAAGUCCCGCAACGAGCGCAACCCUUGUCAUUAGUUGCUACGAAAGGGCACUCUAAUGAGACUGCCGGUGACAAACCGGAGGAAGGUGGGGAUGACGUCAAGUCCUCAUGGCCCUUAUGGGUAGGGCUUCACACGUCAUACAAUGGUACAUACAGAGGGCCGCCAACCCGCGAGGGGGAGCUAAUCCCAGAAAGUGUAUCGUAGUCCGGAUUGUAGUCUGCAACUCGACUACAUGAAGUUGGAAUCGCUAGUAAUCGCGGAUCAGCAUGUCGCGGUGAAUACGUUCCCGGGUCUUGUACACACCGCCCGUCACACCAUGGGAGCGGGUUUCACCAGAAGUAGGUAGCCUAACCGCAAGGAGGGCGCUUACCACGGUGGGAUUCGUGACUGGGGUGAAGUCGUAACAAGGUA